ACAUGGAUAUAAUUUUGAUGUUGAUACAGUAAAAUUUGCUUUGUCAAUAUAAGCUUUACUACUGUAUAUUCUCUAACUCAAAUUCCUGUAAUUUGAAACACGUCCCAGUAAAAGUUAAAGAGAUUUCACCGUAAAUUUAAGAACCACUAAUACUUUUAAAAUCAUUAAAUUAUUAUAACUCACUUACUUGAUUGACAAUUUUCGUCAAAUUAAAAAUAAUUUUAUUUAAAAAUGAUUUAAAAUUUUCGACAGAACUUUGUUGUGAAGACUUGGACUUUUGUAUAAGUUAAAUAUUAAACACCAAUAAAAUUACUUCCGAUGAUAAACAUUAUUAAAAAUCUAAACUUGACCACUCUAUUAUCUAUGAUCAUCAUUCGUAACUUUAUAAAUGUAUUAGUAACAUAAAAUAAAUAAAGAUUUUAAAUCAAUCACUAUUUAUAGAAGUAAAAAAGAAGAUUUAUCGAAACUAAAAGGUAUUAAAGGUUAUAGGAAGAAUAAAAAAGAAAUUUAUAAACGUUAAAUUAUUCGGAGCUAAUUUAAUAACAGGGUGUUAAUUAUUAAUUGCAUUAUUUUUAGAUAAAAGGCUUGUGUCCACAUUCAGGUGGAUGUUUAUUUAUUUUUGGGAUACCUGCGUCCACGCUCGCGCUUGUACUGGCCACCGUACUUGCAGCGGUUCGCCGCGAGCUCCGUGAUCUCAGGGAUCCAGCUGGCAAACACCGCCUACACCCACAAUAAUCCGUUGCCCAAAAAAGAUGAGAGACAUGGAGGUUGAUGGAUGUUAUAUAUUAAUACCUCUUUCCAUGUUCCCGCUUGUACUCGCCGCUGUAUUUGGACCUACUGCCUACGAGCUCAAUUAUCUCAGAAAUUUUCUCCCUCUUUCUCGAUAAAAAUGUCAAAAAUAAACAUCUAUACGUACACAUACUAUCUGCACGAGUAAAACAGCUGGAAAAGGCAUUUCGACGUCAAAGACAAAGCAUUGUUGAA
This is a long non-coding RNA of Cotesia glomerata, 984 nucleotides long. RefSeq lists it as uncharacterized. The transcript has 3 exons. NCBI's taxonomy places the organism in Eukaryota, Metazoa, Arthropoda, Insecta, Hymenoptera, Braconidae. The record is from RefSeq and is a predicted model, not a curated record.